This 483-nucleotide ribosomal RNA is filed under the name uncultured bacterium. RNAcentral's name for it is "partial 16S ribosomal RNA". It matches the Rfam family "Bacterial small subunit ribosomal RNA", at positions 30 to 507 of the family's 1533-position model. The record is from RNAcentral.
AUUGAACGCUGGCGGCAGGCCUAACACAUGCAAGUCGAGCGGAUGAAGGGAGCUUGCUCCUGGAUUCAGCGGCGGACGGGUGAGUAAUGCCUAGGAAUCUGCCUGGUAGUGGGGGAUAACGUCCGGAAACGGGCGCUAAUACCGCAUACGUCCGAGGGAGAAAGUGGGGGAUCUUCGGACCUCACGCUAUCAGAUGAGCCUAGGUCGGAUUAGCUAGUUGGUGGGGUAAAGGCCUACCAAGGCGACGAUCCGUAACUGGUCUGAGAGGAUGAUCAGUCACACUGGAACUGAGACACGGUCCAGACUCCUACGGGAGGCAGCAGUGGGGAAUAUUGGACAAUGGGCGAAAGCCUGAUCCAGCCAUGCCGCGUGUGUGACGAAGGUCUUCGGAUUGUAAAGCACUUUACGUUGGGAGGAAGGGCAGUAAGUUAAUACCUUGCUGUUUUGACGUUACCAACAGAAUAAGCACCGGCUAACUUCGUG